Molecule: ribosomal RNA, 467 nt
Filed under: uncultured bacterium
Lineage: Bacteria
Description: partial 16S ribosomal RNA
Rfam family: Bacterial small subunit ribosomal RNA
Source: RNAcentral
GACGAACGCUGGCGGCGUGCUUAACACAUGCAAGUCGAACGGAAAGGCCCUGCUUUUGUGGGGUGCUCGAGUGGCGAACGGGUGAGUAACACGUGAGUAACCUGCCCUUGACUUUGGGAUAACUUCAGGAAACUGGGGCUAAUACCGGAUAGGAGCUCCUGCUGCAUGGUGGGGGUUGGAAAGUUUCGGCGGUUGGGGAUGGACUCGCGGCUUAUCAGCUUGUUGGUGGGGUAGUGGCUUACCAAGGCUUUGACGGGUAGCCGGCCUGAGAGGGUGACCGGCCACAUUGGGGCUGAGAUACGGCCCAGACUCCUACGGGAGGCAGCAGUGGGGAAUAUUGCACAAUGGGCGGAAGCCUGAUGCAGCAACGCCGCGUGCGGGAUGACGGCCUUCGGGUGGUAAACCGCUUUCGCCUGUGACGAAGCGUGAGUGACGGUAAUGGGUAAAGAAGCACCGGCUAACUACGU